CAGUAGCGUAUAUUAAAGUUGUUGCAGUUAAAAUGCUCGUAGUUGAAGUUCGGAUGCAGCAGAGCUUGGAAACGCUGUUAUGGUGCUUCCGUUGCUUUUGCUUGUCCACAGUGCGUUGCAAGUACGUAUGUGCUUGUGCGUGCAUUUUACUUUGAGAAACAUAGGGUGUUCCACGCAUGUUACGGCAUGAAUAUUCCAGCAUGGGAUAAUCUGGUACGACUUCCAAUCUGCCAUUUUGGUUCGUAGGUUGGAAGUAAUGAUUAAUAGGGACUGUCGGGGGCAUUGGUAUUUGACUGUCAGAGGUGAAAUUCUUAGAUUCGUUGAGGACCAACCACUGCGAAGGCAUUUGUCAAGGAUGUCUCCAUUAA
Molecule: ribosomal RNA, 368 nt
Filed under: uncultured eukaryote
Lineage: Eukaryota
Description: partial 18S ribosomal RNA
Rfam family: Eukaryotic small subunit ribosomal RNA
Source: RNAcentral